RNAcentral lists this ribosomal RNA (436 nucleotides) under uncultured soil bacterium. RNAcentral's name for it is "bacterial SSU rRNA". It matches the Rfam family "Bacterial small subunit ribosomal RNA", at positions 26 to 506 of the family's 1533-position model. The record is from RNAcentral.
AGAACGAACGCUGGCGGCAUGCCUAACACAUGCAAGUCGAACGAGACCUUCGGGUCUAGUGGCGCACGGGUGCGUAACGCGUGGGAAUCUGCCCUUGGGUUCGGGAUAACGGUUGGAAACGACUGCUAAUACCGGAUGAUGUCUUCGGACCAAAGAUUUAUCGCCCAAGGAUGAGCCCGCGUAGGAUUAGCUUGUUGGUGAGGUAAGAGCUCACCAAGGCGACGAUCCUUAGCUGGUCUGAGAGGAUGAUCAGCCACACUGGGACUGAGACACGGCCCAGACUCCUACGGGAGGCAGCAGUGGGGAAUAGUUGGACAAGUGGGCGAAAGCCUGAUCCAGCAAUGCCGCGUGAGUGAUGAAGGCCUUAGGUUGUAAAGCUCUUUACCCGGGAUGAUAAUGACAGUACCGGAGAAUAACGCCCCGGACUAACCUCCGU